RNAcentral lists this ribosomal RNA (253 nucleotides) under uncultured bacterium. RNAcentral's name for it is "partial 16S ribosomal RNA". It matches the Rfam family "Bacterial small subunit ribosomal RNA", at positions 524 to 776 of the family's 1533-position model. The record is from RNAcentral.
UACGGAGGGGGCUAGCGUUGUUCGGAAUUACUGGGCGUAAAGCGUACGUAGGCGGCUUUGUAAGUUAGAGGUGAAAGCCCGGGGCUCAACUCCGGAAUUGCCUUUAAGACCGCAUCGCUUGAAUCAUGGAGAGGUGAGUGGAAUUCCGAGUGUAGAGGUGAAAUUCGUAGAUAUUCGGAAGAACACCAGUGGCGAAGGCGACUCACUGGACAUGUAUUGACGCUGAGGUACGAAAGCGUGGGGAGCGAACAGG